GGCGCACGGGUGAGUACGCGUGGGAACCUGCCCUGGAGUGGGGGAUAACCCGGCGAAAGCCGGGCUAAUACCGCAUACGUGCCUGAGGGAGAAAGAUUUAUCGCUCUAGGAGUGGGCCCGCGUCGGAUUAGCUAGUUGGUGAGGUAACGGCUCACCAAGGCGACGAUCCGUAGCUGGUCUGAGAGGAUGAUCAGCCACACUGGGACUGAGACACGGCCCAGACUCCUACGGGAGGCAGCAGUGGGGAAUAUUGGACAAUGGGGGCAACCCUGAUCCAGCAAUGCCGCGUGAGUGAUGAAGGCCUUAGGGUUGUAAAGCUCUUUCGCCCGCGACGAUGAUGACGGUAGCGGGAGAAGAAGCCCCGGCUAACUUCGUGCCAGCCGCCGCGG
RNAcentral lists this ribosomal RNA (389 nucleotides) under uncultured bacterium. RNAcentral describes it as "bacterial SSU rRNA". It matches the Rfam family "Bacterial small subunit ribosomal RNA", at positions 97 to 520 of the family's 1533-position model. The record is from RNAcentral.